Long non-coding RNA from Myiozetetes cayanensis, 297 nucleotides. RefSeq lists it as uncharacterized. The transcript is spliced from 3 exons. The record is from RefSeq and is a predicted model, not a curated record. NCBI's taxonomy places the organism in Eukaryota, Metazoa, Chordata, Aves, Passeriformes, Tyrannidae.
CUUCCCUUCCCCGUGCCCUCCACGUGCCUGGAAUGCCGAUGGGCAGGCUGGGAUUUACCUGGAACAUGCAGUGACAGUAACAGCUCUACAUGGACUGGUUCAUGUAGUUAAGUUAUUACCACAUAAUUUUCAAUGCAACUGUCCUUGCUGCCUCCAGUGUUGUCCGACUUUUGAGCACCAAAGGUGUAAAAAAUGUCAGCCCUGGAAGUGUGGCUUGGUGAGCAGCGAGGUGCCGGCGUGCCAGGUGGGCUGACACGGAGCUGGAUCCUGCCUGGAGGCACAGUGUGACAGCAAAAG